CAGCGUGUGAGCUCACCAUCAGUGCCGAAGUUGUUUUUUGGAGGUGUGCUAAAAGGAAUUUGAAGGCCCGAACAGAACCCCACGAAAGAGCAGCAAGAACGCAACAAAUUAGCCACUGCAGUGCAUUCAACCUCACACAGCUGGCUAGUCCUUUUCCAAACUCAACAAUGAUCACCUGGAUGAUCAAAACAGCCGCUAACGCCAUCAGAAACCAAUGGCUGCGGAGGACAACAACUAGCACUUCCUUUUUUACUAUGUCCAUGGCACUGAACAAAUUAAGGACCUGGCAUAAGGUGAAAGUAUUGAAAAUCAUGGUAUUCCGGACACCUUCGUUCAUGCUCGAUACUACAUUUCCCAUGAAAUGUAAGAUCAGCAAGAUGGAAGCCUGGUACAAAACUUGAACUGCUAUGUUUCCCCAGAUGACUUUGGUUAUAAGCGACUCGGUCCUCUUAGCAGGUAUUUGAGUGUGUCGUUCAGUGCCUUGUAACUCCAUCACCAUCAUUAGGCCACCAAGAAGGCACAUGAUCAAGUUCACCCAAAUCAAGUGAACUGUUGUUAGUGGGGACUCUCCCGAAUGCAUUGUUACGACUAGGGUCACUAAUAGCCCGGAUAUGCAAGUGGUGAGUUGAAGUUGAGAGAACUGCUGAAUGUUAUGGUAAGCACAAGCACCGAACUUCAUAUUCAUGCUUAAGAAAUAUCCAUUUCUGAUUAUAAGAUCGGCGUUCUCUCUGGCCAUCUCGGUGCUCCAGAGAUCUUCUACAAUUCCUACAUCAGCUUCUUUUAAGGUCAGAGCGUCACUGCUGGUUAGCCCUCCAUAAAAUCCAACUAUGUGACCUUUUUUCUUUAACUGCUCCACCAUGAGAAACUUGUCCUUGGGGAGAGAACUUCCCAUCACAGAGAUCAAAUCCACCUUAUCCCGCAUUUCCACGGAAUUGAGCCUUCGGAAAUCUUGACCUUCAAUUUUCGUGAAAUCUGAGUCAGGGGAGAUCCUAAGCUCCAAAGCUCUAGCUCUCACUUUCGAGAGCUCAUCAUCCGACACCAGUUUGAUCCUUACUCCAGCUUCUCUAAGAGCCUCCACGUCCAAUUUAAGUUCUUCUUGAUAUGGACAUCUAAGACCGACAGGUGCCAACAAAAUCAAACCAUCUUUUGUAGGAUAUUUGGCUUCUGUUUUCUUGUACGCUUAUGCAAUCGAUCUAAGACCCUUCUUCUCCAUCUUCUCGAUCACCUGCUUGAAUUUUCUCGUCUGGUAUCCAAUAUUGUGACUUUCCCCUCUGUUAUCAUAGUAAUGUGAACACAUGCCUAGUAUUGUUGAUGCUUCUCCGUCACAGUGAAGUUGCAUAAUCUGUUCAUCAUUCUCGAUUUUCCUCAAUACAACUCCUCUAUACUUCUCAUUAGAGCUCCAUUGUUCAACAAUUUCAAAUCUUCGAUCCAAUAACUUCGCGUUACUACCCCAUAUGGUGUUCAGCCAAGAAAUGAGCCGAUCAUUUUUUGGUGACGUGGUAGCUGAAAUCCCCUGAUGGAGAGCCUCAAGAACUUGGUCAGUUUCCGAGUCCACUUCACCACUGCUUAAAUCUUUUUCGCCGAUCCGAAAUUCCUCGACCUCCGUCCGGUUGCACGUUAGAUCUACCGUUGUUUCAAUGCAGAUGAAAUUUAAGAGUCCCACGGUGACAGAAGCUGAUAGAUUCCGUGGAUCUGCUUGAUUUUUGGCUGCCUUCUCCUUCCAUUGAAAAAGGGCAACUGCAAUCACAAAAGGCAUCCCAUGUUGUAUCCCUAUUACCACAGUUGUGAGAACGCUUGCUAAGAUGGAAACUUUUCCUUGAGGUUCCAAUGAGAUCUUUUAAAAAAUCCUCAUCACAAAAUUCAUUGAAAAUAUCCCUUUCAGCUCUGGCCUUUCAUUGUAAUUUUCAUACUUCCUGAAGAAUAGUAGGCGUAUCAACAUCCCAACCCAAUCAGUAUCGAGACACCACAUGUAAGAUAAUCCAUACAAUCAUUCGGUUUGUCCAUCAAAUCUUGUAGCAGUGUCUUUUCAUUUGGAUUAUGAUCAGACAACGAGCUCAGCACCUCAGCAAAAGCUGUAUUAGCACCAAUGGAUGUCACAAUCAUGCAGCUAUGGCCCUUCACAACCUUUGAACCCGAAAAAACAAAUGGAUUUUGUUCGCAAUCAAUUUUUGGGCUCAACACCUCAUCCAGAACCAAUACCUCACCGUGAUCUAUGAACAAACCAUCAGCAGGAACACAGUCUCCUUCCUUCAAAGGAACUAUAUCACCCACCACAAUGCCAGAUAUGGUAAUCGGUGUAGGUUCUGUGCUACUUAUUUCAACAUUCACCGUCAAUUUGCUCCUAUCCAGCAAGUGUUUUGCCAGCUUUCUCUGACGGAGGUAGUUCCCCACAGAACGGAAAGCAAUAAGUAAGAACGCGGCAAUGAGUAUGGCAACACCGUCAUGCCAGCCAUCCUUGACUCCUUGAUUCAUGAAUUCGAUGGUGAACGAUAACCCAGCUGAGAGCAAGAGGAAAAAAAUUAUGUACUGAUUGAACGCCUCAAACAAAAAGUACAAGAAACCUUUGGCGUCAACAGGGGACUUGGUAAUGUUCCAUCCUUCUGGAUUUUGACCACCAUCAAUGGCACCUUCCUGAGAUCAAAUCUUGAAUAUAAUCAACUGAAGUACAAUCAUUCUCGACCAUGUACAAGAUUAUAGAAAAAGUGGUUAUUUUCUACAGGGUUGCUUGCUACCUCAAAAUGAGACCUGAGAAGUGGCAAGAUGCCAUCAACACCACCAAGUCUGCGGAGUGAGUUCAAGUCCUUCUCCCUCACUAUUUCAGUAACCUUUUUCGAAAACCAUUCCUGGAGAGGGAUGUCAAUCACAUGGUCAGAGGUAGUGGCUGGCGGCGCUGGUGCUGCUGCUAAAGGUUCAGAACUAGCUUCAAGCAAACGUCUGGUUUUCUUAAUGCGUGAUGAGAACAAAAUGCCUAGAACAACAUAUCUCAGCGAGGUUCCCAUGCGUCUGAUGGUCUGCAUAAUCAAGCCGGUAGUAAGAGUGGCACCUUCAGCAGCUUUGAUCCUCUGUAUUUAUCUCGAAGGUCGUGUUUCCUUGUGCCACAAGAAAAUUAGAGAGAUGAUCAGACAAGAAAUUGAUAAAAUUUGAUUCGUUGGCGCGAAUUUGCAGUUAAUGAGACGUUUAAAACAAGAUUGGUAAGACUCAUUCCCUUAUGUUAGAUCUUGUAAGUAAUGAGCAUAGCUAAUAGGAGGAUUAUGUACGUCUCUUUUUUUUCCUUCAUAUUCACGCUUUAUAAGCAAACAAAUUUAACUCAAGUGGCUAAAAGUUUUGCCACUCAACUACUCAGUACCAGGUCUGAUGGUAUUCCUCUUCACUUGUAAGUGAGAGAUUUUAGGUUCGAAUCUCGUGAAUGGCGAAUUCGAUACCAAAUUAAGUUGGCUUAGCCGAACUCCCUCUUCCCUUAGUAUAAAAUUAUAUCGAUGUAUUAAAAAAAAGCUAAAAGUAUUUAUUAUGUACCAAAAGUUUUUUAUCAAAAAAAUGGCAUCACAUACAGAGAUCCCUAUUUCUUUAUGUUCUUUAUUUGGUGUUUUACAUCUAGGUCCAAAAAUAGGUUGACAUGGUAGAUAGAUAAUUACACAGAUAUUAUACCUAUAAACGAGAUAUGAAAUUCAAGUACAAAAUACAAAAAUAGAAUACCUACAAGUAAGAUACAUUAAGCAUUGAUACAUGUUAAUCAUAAAUAUAAAUCUUUCAUAUAGAUAGAUUAAUACAAUUAACCAGUGAUCUAGAUUGAUUAAAAAAAAUUAUAAAUGGGAUUUGGAACAGAAGAACAAAAAAUAACGAAAAAAAAAGAAAUAAUUAAGGAGAUAAUUACAAGAAAUUAAUUUUUAUAAUAAAUCUUAUCAAUAAAUAAGAUAAUGAAAUAAUCAUAAAUUUAAGAGAUUUGACUUAUUUUAAGAAACUGGAUAAUUUUUAAUAUUGGUUGAAAAAAUUGGACAGACAAAAAUACAAAUGAGUAGCUAAGGAAGGAUAGACAGAUUCAUGUAUGUUUAUUUUGCCGUAAACAAUAUAACGGGAGUAGCGGUGGUUGCGCGCGGGAUCCAAACCGAAAAUGGAAUCCCGAAUUCCAAACCCGGAAAGGACAGAAUUUUGAAGAUUGAAAUCAAAACAAAUUUUCGAGAUUCUCAAAACUUUAUCGGGAUUUUGGUACAGGUCGGGAUAUUUUACAAUAAAUCAUAGAUUUGUGCUCAAUGUUUCAGUGAACAAAUUUAGGGUACGUUCAAUUGGAAAGUUAAGAGAUUUUAAUGAAUUUAUAAAUCUAUAAAUUUUUUAUAGAGUUUAAUUGAUUUGUAGAAAUUUUAUGUAAAAUUUUGAUUCAAUUCCCCCAAAAUCUUAUAGAAAAUCUUAUGGGAAGAGGUGAAAUUUGUGAAUGUUUAAAAUACAUUACAAAAUCUCUCAAAUUCCCUCAAAUUCCUCAAUUUUUUCAAAUUCUAAUUAAAUACACUUAAAAUGUUAUAAACUUAUUUAAAAUUUUAAUUGAAUACACACAGAUUUUUAAGUAUUUUAAUAAACUAUCUUAAAAUAUUAAUUGAAUACACAUUAAAUUUCAAAUAAUCAUCUAACAUCUUCAUUACCCUAAAUUCAUUAAAAAAAUUAAAAUGACUCAAAAUCUCAAUUGCAUACGCUCCUUAUACUUACAGCAGCUAAUAAAUGCUUCCUUAUUAAAAAAAAAUAUUUAGUUUUUCAGGGAAAAGAUUCCCAAAUUCUUGGGUUCAAUAACCCAGAAAUCUUACGGCCCUUGAAUAAAUAUAGUGAGUGAAAGAUCAAAAACUGAAAGAGAAAAAAGAAAAAAGAAAACCAAAUUAAAUAAAACCAGAAAUCCAAAUCCAUAUAUAUUAAAACCCUAGAAAUCUCCAAACCCAGAAAUCCAUACCCUAGAUUUCGGAAGCUCGAGAGCCGGUCGAUCGAGAAGGAGAGAGAAUGGGAGAGAAAGAGAGAGAGAGAGAGCAAUGUUUCAGUGUGUGCGUGUAUGGUUCGUCUGUGGUGUGGUCGAGAUAGGGUAUGGUGGCUGGCCGGAGUCGAGAUUCGAAGAAUGUGGGCGGAGGAGAGCAGAGUCGAGAUUGAGAGGGUUGAGAUGGAGUUGACAGGGUUCGAGAAUGUGCGAGUCUGUGAGAGAAAAGAAUGAUGAGAGACUGAGGCUGGUUUGGUAUCACUGUGUUUGAAAAAAAAACUAAUAAAGUAGCGAAAUGUUUAGCAAUGGUGAAAUAAAGUAGCAGAGUGUUUGGUAAAUCUUUUUGUAAAAGUGCUUUUGAAAAAAAAAGCAGUGUUAUAGUGUUGGGUAAACUUUUAUGUAAAACAGAUAUGAAAAAAAAUCAGUUUUUCAAAGCUGGGUUUUGCAAUUUGGUGUUUUUGGUUUUUUUUUCAUCUAAAACUAUGAAAAAAAGUUGAAGCUGAAUGUUUAACAAACUGUUUGGGCCCAAAAUAAUAGUUUGGGCCGAGGGUAGGAUCAUUCUCGGCCCGGGAGGCCGUGCGGCGAAAGGGCCAUGGAUCGUUCAGCUCGUGGGCUUCCAAGCCUAGGUCGGCUAGGUCAUAACGCAAAACAAGUCGAGUCCUAGUGCAAUGAGGAGUCUCGGCAGGAUUAAUAACCUGGAAGCGAAUCCGGCUCGGUUAAGGACUAGGUUCACAAUCCUAGUGAAAAUAGGACUGGUCGAGUUGGUGUUGAUCCGGAGGGAAUGACCUAGUCCGAGUAGGAUUUUAAUUCGGAUUCAAGGAAAUUCGGUGCUAUAAAUAGGGGAGGCUGUGCACAUUCAAAAGGCCCCUUGCAAAAAUCAAUACAAAAUUGCCCUGCGCAAAUUCUCACAACUUGUGAUUUUUCUUUUUUCCUUUUUCGUUGACACAUCUUCCGUUGGCAUCAACAGCACUGUGGAAGCAACCGAUGAUAUCUUAAGUCGGCAUAGAUAGCUCUGUCACCGUAGAAUCAGUCGGUCUCGCAGUAUCUUCCGUUGGCAUCAACAGCACUGCGGCGAGAACGAUUGAUUACCUAUCCAAGUCUCGGUCGAGAAGGAUUUCUGAAUCCUUGUUGGUCGAGGUCAUCUUAUUAGCCUUCUCAGCGAAGUGAGGUGUUACAAGUGAUUACAUUCGGCACGUUGAAAGCCGAAUUUGAUAUUGAACUUCGUAAAAAUAGUAACCUUGUCUUCAGGUUCGAGAGCCCAAGAGGCCGAGACGUGUUUCUUUCUCGGCCGCAAUCGCAAGACGCAGAAGUCAGCCGCGCACCCAACGCAACAUCAACAAAUUUACUCCUCGACCGAGCUCGGCCGACGAGUUGGCACGCCCCGCAAUCACCGAAGGACGUAGUUAGCUUAUAGAUUACUCGGCAUGCGCGCCACGUAGGCUUUAUAGUUUCUAGGGCCAACACAAAUACAAAAAAAUUCCCAACUUUUUUUUAUAUCUAUGUUUUUUCAUAAUCAUCUCAGUACCAAACCUGUCUUGGAGAAACUUAAGAGAGCACAUAAAUACAAUAGGAAAAUGCAUGAAUUUAACAGAAAAAAAAUGAAGUGAUGAAAGAAAUAUAAUAUAUCUAAAUUACGAGUUAAUGAUUUUUUUUUUGUCAAGUAAAAGAAUGUGAAAAUACAUUUUUGUUUUGUAUUACAACAAAAAAGUUAAGGAUAGUAACGUAAUUUUAUUUAUACCCAUCUAAUCUAUUUCUACACCCAACUUACUCUUUGCACCAAUUUGAUUUUUAACUAAACUAUUAAUAUAUCUUUAAACCCAAAUUUAAUACCAUAUAUAUUCCAAUAAACCCAAUUCAAUAUGUAGAUUUUUUUUACAUGCAUUUGAUUUUUAGAAGCUAAAUUUGAUGUGUUUAGACCUAAGUUCUUUGCAUGGUUUUCCACAACACAAAAGCUGAUAAUCCAAUUGUUACCUGCAGGAACUUAAAGAUGGUUAUUAAGAAGUGGAUCGAUGAACUUAAAGAUCAACCAUGGUCCAGAGAGAAAAAAGCAAAUGAUCAACCUGCUUUUAAAUGGGCAUUAGACAACAAACUCGUUAACAAAAUCCAAGAUCAAUAUUUGUUUCCAUAGAAGCUCUGUAUCAAUGCUCGCAGGAAAUGCUUCCUUAUGAAUUCGUGUGACCUUCGAGCCCGGUGGGUUUUCGUAAUAGACUUGAAAAGGGAAGGAAAUGUGGUUUUCGCUUUAGAACCGCAAGAAAGGAACAUAGAGUUUGACUUCUCUCAGUUGUUUGCUAAUUCAACCAGUUAAUAGGUCCUUUCACACCGGACAUUGUUCAUCGUUGGAUGCUUUCAUUGUAUGUGUUGAAAAAAAUUACAGUAAAUAACUUCUACUAUCUAAAAAAUUGAAAUCAAAUGAACAAAAUAUUCAUAAAUUGAGUUAUACCUUGGUUGGAGGAUUCAAAACUUCAAAAUCACUAUCCAUCAAUAAAAAAACUUAAUUUUCUCUAUAAAAGUUAUUAGGGUUUUAGCCAGAAUAAACGUAGGUAAACAAAGAGUGAUCGUAUGGUUUAAUUAUAGUGUUUGGGUUUAUUGAUAAAUUUGAGUUUUAUUAUUAAUUUCAUUUUGUACUUAAUAGUAAUUAUGUAAUAGGGUAAAAUAGACAAUGAAUAUUUAAAAUUUAAGUUGGGUGUAAAAAGAGGUUAAAUGGGUUUAAAUAAAAUUUCUCAUAAAAUUUUGCUUUUUUUUAUUUAAGCCUCAUUACAAGUGAUUGUAUCAUGUCUAAUUAAAAAAAUAAAAUAAAAUAAACCUCUCCCUCCCUCCCCACUCCACGUUCUCUCUCACUUUCUUCCUCUCUGCUUCAAGUUUAAAAACAAAGUAAAAUAUUUCACACACACUUUGUGUGUGGGCAUGUACUAGUAUAUAUGUAUAAAAGAAGCAUGCAUUUAUUUUUUAAGUUGCAUCUCAUAAAUCAUUUUUAUAAAAUAUUAGCCAAAUCGAAAAUAUUUGAAGCAUCUAAUUGAGUUCAAAGAAAUUAAUGAAUACUUUUUUCUAAAACAUAUUAAAAUUUUAUCGUGAUAAUUAAAUAGACAAACGGUUUUGGGGUGAAUUGAAUUUUACAAGAAUGAUAUAUGAAUUGAAACAUACAAAAUAAAUGAUUCAUAUCAUUGAGGUUCUGACACACCCCGUCCCGAAGGAGGGCAUGCUGGCCAUCACGUGAGAGUGACGUAACCAUUUACACAGUUCGGAAGCUUUUAAAAUACAAUUACUAAAAUGGAAACCCCCGAGGGUGAGUCCUACUUUUGUGAAUUCUGUCAGAACGCCGUUGGGUUCCUCGUGGCCACCAAAGCUCUGCUAACUUGAACCUGGAGGGGCGCAAAACAAAAUUGAGUAGGUCAGUAAAACAAAGUUUCUCGAAAACUUUUCAUUUAAAACAUUUCUAACCCCUCGCUGUAAAACCUGUAUACUUUCCUAGAAAAUAGUAUAUAUAUAAUCAUAUAUAAUCUCAAAUCUCAAAUCACAAGUCUUUAACACUUUUCGAGAAAAAUAUGCCAUGCCAUGCCAAAAUAUAAUAUGAAUGCAUCAAUAUGAAUCAGGUGAAAUAAUAAAUCAACCGGAGACCCUAUAAUGGUCCUGUACGGCUGAUUCUAUAGCUCAAUAUCCCAUCCAGCCGGAGUCACCACAGUGACCUGUACGGCUCAACUCUGCACGUCACUCGGAACUACAUAUAGUAGUCUGUACGAUGACAGGUGUACAAAUACGCUCUAGUGCUUCUCUCAUCAAUCAUCAGCGCGCAUAACUAAGGUCACCCACUAGUUGGAAUCACAUCUAGUGAUCUGUACGGCUAGCAUGUCGGAACCCUCACAUGGUCUGUACGACAUCCACCUACUUGGAUCCAAGACGAGCGUGCGGUGUGGUGAAUAGCAAUAUAAGCACUAACACCUAGGUGCAGGUUAUGAGUUUUCAAUGCAAUUCAUAAUAAAUAACUCAGUUGAUAAAUAAUAACACUCACCUGAGCGUCCACCGCGUCAGUCCACACAUAUAUAUAUAUCAAUUAUCAAACUAGACAUCUCAAUAAUUGCACGCAUGGUAAUUAAUUUCAUAAUUUUCAUAUAAACUAUUUUCUGGGAAAAACAGUUGUAUAUAGGUAAUAUGAAAUCAAAACUGCCCACUCACCUGGAGUUCACCCUACAACUCCCUAGCACAAUACGUCAAGGCGUCAUGACAAUCGGCGCCUAAAACAAUAAUCAAAUCCAACCUCAGAAUUCAUAUCGAUAGAAUAUAUAACUUAUAUAAAAUACGUCACUACGUAGUUUGUUCCGGAAGCUCUGCAACUCAGAUUUUAAAUCCAUAACUUCCAGAGGUCCACAAUAUAUCUCUAGGACAACAUCCUAAAAUUUCAUUACUAUCCAACGGUCGGAUCGUCAAUUCACAUUUUCGCCUAACCACGAAUCGUAACCAACUCAGGUUCAAUUACUCAAUAACCUCUCAUACGGUGCUCAAUUUGGGUAUAUGAAUAUAUCACAGUGGCCUACUCAACGUCACGAAUGUCGACAAAUUUUUAGAAUUAAUUUUGGACCUCCCACGCUCCGGCCAAGGCACGGCAAAACGCACCAGCCACGCGGCCACGUGCGACGGAGCAGUAACGGCGUCAGGAAUAUUCCUUGGAAUAUUCCGUUAAAUUCUAACGGACGCCGUUAAAUCUGACUGACGGCGUGAGAAUAUUCCGUCAGACUUGACGGAAUAUUCUCCCGUUUCCUUCCUCCAGCUCCAGCGACCGUCGCCGGCGCAGGAAACUGGGCAGAGUUUCAAAUCCCUUAUUCUCCUUCGUUUCUCAACCAAAUUUCAUGAAAUUGAUACCAAAAUGAAGCUAAUAACAUGUAGAAUCACGUUAUACAAAUUUUAAAGCUUAAAUUCCACUAGAUUUUUCAUGAGAAAGGUCGAUAGCUCGACUUACCUAUAAACUCGUCGUUCUAAGUCCUCCGACAUCCAAAUCUUUCCAACGAAGUACUCCUAGACUCGUGAGGACUCUCUUAAGCUUCCUACAAGCUUGAAAUUUCCAAAAACACAAGUUUUAACGUUCGCAUGAAUAGUACCCCCAAAUCGGGUAUACUGUUUCAACGCGAAAACGAAGCUAUCCUUACCUGAAAAUGGUAUGGUUGAGUUCGUAGAGUCCUCACAAGCACGAUGGUGCCUUCAAAACCCUCGAUCCAUGAAGUUUCAGGGUUUUAUGGUGUUGGUCCGUACGUUCGAGGGAGAGAGAGACUGAACGGAGAGGAAGAGAGAGAAACACGGGGAAGAGAGAGAGAAGGGUUGACUGGGUGUGUGGUCCAACCAAAACCAUACAUACUAAUUUUAAUCCCUAACCACACAAAAUACAAUCCAAUUUAAUCCAACUUAAAUUAUUUUCUCCAAAAGUUUAGGAAUGUAUAUUUAGUCCAAAUAAUAUAUCAUACACACACAUACCUUAAUACCCGUCAAGGGUAAUUCCGUCUUUUCACAUCCUCGAUGAAUAAAAUUCCUGGACGGGCUGUGAGAAGUACGUCCCUGGCCUGGCUGACUAGGCUGCCUAGAUGAUCAUGCACCACCAGUAGCAACUUCCCCCUGACGGGGCUGACCUCCCUGAUGCCACUAAGAUCCACCAGCUGGCAUAGACGAAUAAGAAUGAUAACCUCCAAAGUCCUGAGAAUACCCUGCCUGAGGAUAAGGCUCAUGGGGAUACUGAUAAGGUUCGGGAGCAUACGGAGCAGCAUCCCCCUGGUAGUGGUAGGCACCACCACGGCCUGACUGGCCAUAACCGCCUGGUCCAAAGUUCUGCUGAAUCGGCGCUGGAGGUGGCAUAGUGGUCUGUUGCGGUCUCUGCUGACCCUGGGGACACUGAGAAGCCCGAUGUCCCAUUUGUCCACAAGUAAAACAAGCACCACCACCUCUCCUACACUCAUCAUGGUGACGAAAGUUACAACAGCGGCACCACGGAGCGCCAGAACCACCAGCACCACCAGAAUCCCUCUGCCUCUGAAAUCUAGGCCCACUAGAAAAUCUACCACCACCUCUCCUCGGGCCAGUAACGCUAUAACCACCACUAGAAGAACUCGAACUCACCCCACUCUUCUUAAAAUUCUGAGUCUUACGAGGUCCCGGAAAAGAGAUACCCUUACCUUUAUCAUCCUUCUUCUGACCGUCAUUCUUGUCCUCGUCAUCCUCACUUUCACUGGGAAGAUUAUCAGAGUCCUCCAUCCUAACCAAAAUCUCGAAAAACUCAUGGUAAUCAGCGCAGGAAAGUGCACUGGCAAAGGUACGCCACUUUUUCUUAGAUCCCAACUUGAAACGUCGAAGUAUCUCUCCCUGAUUACUAGCUGUAUCAGGGUCAUAGCGAGACAAAUCAGUAAACAUUCUGUAGUACUCAUGAGCUGUCAUAUUCUUCUGUUUCAACCGAGUAAAUUCUUGUUUCUUGCGGUCAAUAUACUCUGGGGGGACAAAUCUUUUCUUAAAAUUAUCUUUAAAUACCUCCCAAUCAGAUGUCAUAGCUGGGGACAUAAACUGAGUCUGAUUCCUCCACCAACUUGCCGGCUCUCGACCCAAAAACCAGGUAGUGGUCUCAACCCACCUAUCAGCCGGAAAAUUCCCCUGACUUUGCAUUACCUGAAACGUCUUUUCAAUAUGAUCUAGCCAUUUCUCUGCCCCCUCGUGACCUUCAUCACCCAUAAAAUGAUCUAAUUUCAAAUUGUACAUGGUCUCCAGGGGUGUCCUCUGAGGUGGGGGAGGAGGACGAAUCACAUUCUGAAAAGCCUGAGCCAUUGCUUCCCCCAACUGAAUGAUAUUCGGGAAAUUAGGAUCAGGAGUACGGCGGGACUCCCUACGCUCUCUACGAGGCGGCAUAAUUCUGACAGAAAACAUCAAAAGAUCAUUAAAGCAUUAACAAUUAUACAUGACUGCAACCUAGUCUCUGAUACCAAACUAACACACCUCGAUCCGGAGGAUCCAGGCGUGCUGGCCGUCACGUGAGCGUGACGUAACCAUAAGUGCGACACGGAAGCAAAACAAUAACAUACAUAAGAAGGAAUUCAAACCAAACUCUAGCAGAACAACCUACUAGAAUUACAGGAGGAGCUAAGAUAAACACAUAAAUUCAGAGCAUAGGUUUAGGUGCAGUCAAGUAGGACUAAAAUAAAAGUACAUCACCCUCAGGUGAGUCCUACAUGUCAAGUGUCUGUCAGAAUGCCGGAAAAAGACCUCGAGAGCCACCAACCGCUAACUAGAACCUGGAGGGGCGCAAAACAAAAUGAGUGGGUCAGUAAAACCAAAGAUUUUCCAAAACAUUUCAAAUUAAAACAUUUCUAACCCCUCACCGUAAAAACCUGUAUACUUUCCCAGAAAAUAGUAUAAAAACAUAUAUAUAUAUAUACGCAACAUCGAGACUCGGCUCAUAUCCCAUCAUAACAUCUUAGAAAUGAUAUGCCAUACCCAAAAUAUAAUCAGAAUGCAUCAAUACUAAUCAGGUGAAAUAAAUAAUCAACCGGAGACCCUACAAUGGUCCUGUACGGCUGAUUCUAAAGCUCAACAUCCCACUCAGCCGGAGUCACCACAGUGACCUAUACGGCCCAACUCUGCACAUCACUCGGAACUACAUAUAGUAGUCUGUACGAUGAAAGGUGUAUAAAUACGCUCUAGUACUUCUCUCAUCAAUCAUCAGCGCGCAUAACUAAGGUCACCCACUAGUCGGAAUCACAUCUGGUGAUCUGUACGACUAGCAUGUCGGAACCCUCACAUGGUUUGUACGACAUCCACCUACUUGGAUCCAAGACGAGCGUGCGGUCUGGUGAAUAACAAUAUAAGCACUAACACCUAGGUGCAGGUUAUGAGCUUUCAAUGCAAUACAUAUAAAAUAACUCAUCUGAAUAAUAAUAAAACUCACCUGUGCGUCCACAGCGUCAAUCCACAUAUAUAAGUAUCAAUUAUCAAACUAGAUAUCUCAACAAUUGCAUGCAUGGCAAAUUAAUUCAUAGUUUUCAUAAAAACGCAUUUUCUGGGAAAAACAGUUGUAUAUAGGUAAUACGAAAUCAACACUGCCCACUCACUGAUAAGUCGAUGGGUCGUAACCCCCGUGACAUCCCUGGAUGCGCUCGUCCUCGGGAUAUAUGCGAAACAACUAUAAAAACGUUAAUUUAAACACAUAACCAAUAAUUCGAUUUAACUUCUCAUAUGAUGCUCAAAUUGGGCAUAUGAAUAUACCAUAUCGACCUACUCGACAUCACGGACGUCAAGAAAUUUUUAGAAAAAUUUUUAGGCUUGCCACGCGCCCCCACGCGCCGUGGGUGGCACGGGUCCACGCGCCCCCACGCGCACCUUUUUCCUCAGCCAGUCGCCGGACUGGUUUUUCCGGCGGCCGAUUUCCGGCCAAACUUUGAACGCUUUGUUCUCCUUCGUUUCUCAACCAUUUUCUUCGUAUUUUAUACCAAAAUGAAGCCCCAAACAUGUAGAAUCACGAUAGACUAGUUUAAGGCUCUAAAAAUCAAGAAAUCUCACCGGAAAAAUUCCAAGAAAAUCAGCCAAAGUUGAACCACGUGAUCCCGACGUCCAAAACCUUCAAACGAAGCACUCCGAGCUUCCUUGGGACCUCACUAAGCUCACUACAAGCUUAGAAUUCCCUGAAAAUCAACAUAUUACGUUUGCAUGAACAAUGACAAAAAAUGAAGGUUCGGGUUUCACGUGAUUUUGAGGGUUUCACUUCCUAAAACUAGUACUAUUCAACUCAGAACGUCAAAAGGAUGAAGAACCAUACCUUAAUAGCUUCGAUCCACUGAGUUUUGGAGGGUUUUGGGUGAGGCCGUACGUUCAAGGGUAAGAGAGAGCGAGAGAGUCGGGACGGGGGAGAGAGAGAGGCACGGGGAAGAGGGAGGUAGCAGGGGGGUGUAUGUGUGGUCCAAGAUCAAAUCCACACCAUCCAAAACCUUUCCUAAUUCCCUAACCACACAUAACAAAAAUCAAAUUAUUAAUCCAACUUAUCUUAUAAAUUUUUCUUCCCAAGCUUGUCUCAUAUUUGAACCAAAUAACGUCACACACAUACGUACCUUAAUACCCGCUAAGGGUAAUCCCGUCAUUUCACAUUCCCGUCAAAUGUACCUCCGGGACGGGCUGUGACAGUAAGAACUCUUACUCAUCUUUUUAAGUAACCAAAUUUUGUUCUUCUACCAUUCAACAACACAUUAUGUUACCUCAUUAGUAACCGCUAAUAAAACGCCAUUGUUUAUAUUUUUGUUCUUGGGACGUCAAGUAAAUAACAAAGUUUCCUAUUCUAUUCUUUGUAAAAGUAAAAUGAGUAGACGUGGCAGGCAAAUGGUGCUAGGUAUGGGCAACGGUGAUGACAGACGGGUAAUCACGGUUAUUUACCUAUAACUAUUUAUAAACGGUUAAUUACAUCCAUAAUCGCGUACCCAUUUAACUAUAACUGUUUACCCAUCUUAUUUAUGCCUCUUUUUACUUGUUUACAUGUUUUUUAAUAACUUGAAAAUUAAAAAAGAAAAAAAAUUUCAUAACUGACAAAGAAACUCUAGCAUAUAAAUUGGAUUAGAGCGUGAGAAAUUAAACUUUCAUUUCAAUUGGGCAUGAAGCUCUAACCAAGAAUAAUAAAAUAUUAACAAAAACUAAACAAAAGUAGUUUUAUGCCGAGAAUCGAAGGGUAUUGGAGAAGGAAGAAGAUUAAGAAGAAGAAGAAGGAAGGAAUUUGCAGAGAGUUUUCCUUCAUUUCAUUUGCAAUCAUAAUCUUGCUGAUUAUGCAUCUUUGUAAAGUCAAUACAAAGCAUCCAAAAUCACCAAUUCUGAUUAAAAAUCAAACAAUAUCCUAAAAAAUUGAAUUCAGUCAACACAACCCAUAAAAAUAAGAGAUUUUUAUAUAUUGUUUCAUAUAAAAAAAAAUAUAUAUAUAUAUAUAUAUAUUAAAAUAAACAGGUAUCCGUUAUAACUGCAGUUAAUACCUAUAAUUAUCAAUUUAAUUUUACAAGUAAACGAUUAUAUCCAUAAUCGUUUAUUUAUCUAAACGAUUACCUAUACCUACUAUAACUGCAGGUAUUUUGCCUGCCUGUCCCUAGAAGCUGCAAUGUUUGUGGUUGGUGAACACAAGCCACAAGUUGACCAAAAGACAAAUACUUGACAGGUCCACGACAAUGUAUAAUGGAAAAUGAUCCUUGCCGGAUUUUUUUUUAGGAGAUUUUGAGGAUUUCAUGAUGGUGAUCGUUCAUCGUAUAUCGUUUUGUCAGUUUUUGUUAAAUACUAUUUAUAUUUAAUUUAAAAUUUAAAAUUUAAAAUAAUUUAUGAUCGCACAAUAUUCGAUAAACAAUCACGAUGACAGAAUCGCAGAUCCCCAAGAAAAGGAUCCUUCAAUUUAUAAUAUACGUUAUGGAAUGUAAAAGGCGAAUGUGGUCCACUUAAAAAGGAAAUGUGUCGUCGGACUCUUUGAACUCUUUAUUCCUUGCUGUAAACCAGUUUGUAAUGCUGCAGUAGUUUUUGACAAAACAGUAAAAAUAAUAGCAGGCCAGAAGUAGGUUGCAGUGGAAGAAGAGCAUUCAAAUUUACUUGACCUAUGUACCUCAAAUGGUUAAAGGGGUUUACUUUACACCUGUGGUCCUGUGUUCGAAUUCACCCUCACUAAUAUCGCUUGUAUCAAAAAACAACAUAUGAUCUGAUGAACUGCAAGCAUUCUGGUCGAUCGAAUCGAAGGUUGAUAAAACCCUAAGCAACCGAACUAGUAAAUUAGAAGUGACACAGGGGAGCAGCAUGCGAAGAGAGUAAGAAUUUGCUAUACCUUUGAUAUACAGAAUCAACUAUUACAUAGUGGAGAUGGCAGACAUGGUUUAUUUACUGUAUUUAGUAUUUGCAUAUUAACGGAUAUACAGCGCGAGUGGAGAAAUUUCCGGGCGGAUACAGUAUAAUGAUACAGAGAAGAUGAGGAACAACCAAGUGGGAACAUAAAACCAAAUGGGAAUGUAUAAUCUGCGAUGCCGAUGUGAGAAUCCAACGUGUGAGCUCACCAUCAAUGCCGAAGUUGUUCUUGGAGGUAUGCUGAAAGGAAUUUGAAGGCCCGAACAGAACCCCACGAAAGUGCUGCAAGAGCGCAACAGAUUAGCCACUGCAAUGCAUUCAACCUCACACAGCUGGCUAGUCCUUUUCCAAACUCAACAAUGAUCACCUGGAUGAUCAAAACAACCGCCAACGCUAUCAGAAACCAAUGGCUUCGGAGGACAACAACUAGCACUUCCUUUUUUAAUAUGUCCAUGGUAUUGAACAUAUUAAGGACCUGGCAUAAGGUGAAAGUAUUGAAAAUCAUGGUAUUCCGGACGCCUUCGUUCAUGCUCGGUACUGUGUUUCCCAUGCAAUGUAAGAUCAGCAAGACGGAAGCCUGAUAUGAAACCUGAAUCGCUAUUUUUCUCCAGAUGACUUUGGUUAUAAGCGACUCAGUCCUCUUAGCAGGCCUUUGAGUGUGUCGUUCGGUACCUUGUAACUCCAUCGCCAUCAUUGGGCCACCAAGAAGGCACAUUAUCAAGUUCACCCAAAUCAAGUGAACUGCUGUUAGCGGGGACUCUCCCAAAUGCAUCGUUGCGACUAGGGUUACUAGUAACCCCGAUAUGCAAGCGGUGAGCUGAAGUUGAGAGAAUUGCUG
RNAcentral lists this long non-coding RNA (16598 nucleotides) under Malus domestica (apple). RNAcentral's name for it is "long non-coding RNA (MDOM_LNC008016)". Lineage: Eukaryota; Viridiplantae; Streptophyta; Magnoliopsida; Rosales; Rosaceae. The record is from RNAcentral.